CCAAAAAAGGAGGAGGUUCUCAAUUCGACUGUAUUUUUUUUUUUUUUUUUUUAUGUAUGUUACAUCAGAACUUUUGACCGGGUAGACCGAUUUCGACAAAUUUUGUUUUAAUCGAAAGGUGGUGUGUGCCAAUUGGUCACAUUUAAAUUUAUUUGAGAUCUAACAACUACUUUUCGAGCUAUAGCUAAUAAUGCGUUUUUACGUGACGCUUUUUUCGUCGACCUACGUUGUAUUAUACCGCAUAACUUUCUACUGGAUGUACCGAUUUUGAUAAUUCUUUUUUUGUUGGAAAGGGGAUAUCCCAGUUUGGUACUGUGAUAAGGAAACCAGGAUCUGAUGAUGGGAUCCCAGAGAAAUCGAGAGAAACUCUCGAAAAUCCGUAAUAACUUUUUACUGGGUGUACCGAUUUUGAUAAUUUUUAAUUUAAUCAAAAGCUAAUGUUUAUCAUGUGGUCACAUAUAAAUUUUAUGGAGAUCUGAUAACUACUUUUUGAGUAAUCUUUGAUAACGCGUAGUUGCUUGACUAUUUUUUCGUCGAUCUACGUUGUAUUACUUGUCGAUGUAAUUGAAGUCGGUUUUUUUUUCGUUUGCGGGCA
This 595-nucleotide unclassified non-coding RNA is filed under the name Melitaea cinxia (Glanville fritillary). RNAcentral describes it as "misc RNA ENSMCXG00005002105.1". Lineage: Eukaryota; Metazoa; Arthropoda; Insecta; Lepidoptera; Nymphalidae. The record is from RNAcentral.